GGCGGACGGGUGAGUAACACGUGGGAAACCUGCCCAGAAGCGGGGGAUAACACCUGGAAACAGAUGCUAAUACCGCAUAACAACUUGGACCGCAUGGUCCGAGUUUGAAAGAUGGCUUCGGCUAUCACUUUUGGAUGGUCCCGCGGCGUAUUAGCUAGAUGGUGAGGUAACGGCUCACCAUGGCAAUGAUACGUAGCCGACCUGAGAGGGUAAUCGGCCACAUUGGGACUGAGACACGGCCCAAACUCCUACGGGAGGCAGC
RNAcentral lists this ribosomal RNA (262 nucleotides) under Lactiplantibacillus plantarum. RNAcentral's name for it is "partial 16S ribosomal RNA". It matches the Rfam family "Bacterial small subunit ribosomal RNA", at positions 97 to 352 of the family's 1533-position model. The record is from RNAcentral. Lineage: Bacteria; Bacillati; Bacillota; Bacilli; Lactobacillales; Lactobacillaceae.